This 53-nucleotide transfer RNA is filed under the name Hyalella azteca. RNAcentral describes it as "tRNA-Val". The record is from RNAcentral. Lineage: Eukaryota; Metazoa; Arthropoda; Malacostraca; Amphipoda; Hyalellidae.
AUAAAGCGAUUUAGCUCACUUACGUUGAGACAACACCUUACUGGCGCUUUAUA